This is a long non-coding RNA of Zea mays, 269 nucleotides long. RefSeq lists it as uncharacterized. The record is from RefSeq and is a predicted model, not a curated record. NCBI's taxonomy places the organism in Eukaryota, Viridiplantae, Streptophyta, Magnoliopsida, Poales, Poaceae. The transcript has 3 exons.
GCACGCGCACCAUGGCGGAGCCGAGUUCGCCGGUUGCGCGUCGCCCACUGGAUUGCUGGAUUCCAGGGACCCCUACGCCCUCCUGCUUCUUUCAGGUGCCCAGGUUUUCUCCUGGGCAUGAAGCCAUUGGGCUAUGAUGUGUGAGGUGCACAAAGCAAAAAAAGGGGGAGGGGCCCCCUCCAUUCCUCUAAUCUGGGAGGGACUACUAAUAUGGCUACAUGAUGGCCGGCCCCAUCAACCGAGCGUAGAGAAGCUUUGACAAAGAAAAA